RNAcentral lists this ribosomal RNA (415 nucleotides) under Acanthamoeba sp. RNAcentral describes it as "SSU rRNA". It matches the Rfam family "Eukaryotic small subunit ribosomal RNA", at positions 780 to 1093 of the family's 1831-position model. Lineage: Eukaryota; Discosea; Longamoebia; Acanthamoebidae. The record is from RNAcentral.
GCAGAUCCAAUUUUCUGCCACCGAAUACAUUAGCAUGGGAUAAUGGAAUAGGACCCUGUCCUCCUAUUUUCAGUUGGUUUUGGCAGCGCGAGGACUAGGGUAAUGAUUAAUAGGGAUAGUUGGGGGCAUUAAUAUUUAAUUGUCAGAGGUGAAAUUCUUGGAUUUAUGAAAGAUUAACUUCUGCGAAAGCAUCUGCCAAGGAUGUUUUCAUUAAUCAAGAACGAAAGUUAGGGGAUCGAAGACGAUCAGAUACCGUCGUAGUCUUAACCAUAAACGAUGCCGACCAGCGAUUAGGAGACGUUGAAUACAAAACACCACCAUCGGCGCGGUCGUCCCUGGCUCGUCGUCUCACGACGGCGGGCGGGGGCGGCUUAGCCCGAUGGCACCGGUGAAUGACUCCCCUAGCAGCUUGUGA